GCACGGAGGCCUCCGUGCUACCAAGUUGUUUUCGAUGAUGCGGCUUCCAAAUCGACGAUCGGCUCCGUUAGACUUGGUCUACACUAUUUAAAGUAUUAGAAAACUAAAUUUCAUAAAAUUUUGACAUUAUUUGGGUAGUGAUCAGAAUGUCUCAAAAUUGACAAUUUUAAUGGUCGAUGUGAUGCGUUUGUGAAUUUAACGGUAUAAAAUAAUCCAAAUCUGAUGAACUUUUUAUAAAUUUUUUUUUUCACUAUUUAGAGUAAGAUCAGUAGCUCUGAUAUUAAAUUCAAGUCUUUUAUCAUUAUUUUUUAUGAGAUUUUUAUUUUCAGCCAUUUAUUUUUAGAUUACUUGUUUGAUAGGUAAAUUAUGUUAAAAAAUUAUAAAAUUUAGUUUCCAAAUAGUUUGAAUACUGUAGAUCAAGUCUAACGGAGCUGAUCGUCAAUUUAGAAGCCGCAUCGUCGAAAACAACUUAAUAGCACGGAAGGCUCCGUGCUACUGAUAGUAUAUCAACCUAGCUCUAUUUCUACUUGUGAUCGGUAUAUAUAUACACUAGUGAAUUACCUACGCGAUGCUGCGGAUAUAAAAUAUUUUAAUAAUAAAUUUUAAUUAAAAUAUUUAUAUUAUUUUAAUUUUUAAUUAUUAAUUAUAUAAAUUUAAAAAUAAUUUGAAUAAAAAGAAUGUAAAUUGGUUUAUGUGCUACAAA
This 703-nucleotide long non-coding RNA is filed under the name Ananas comosus (pineapple). RNAcentral's name for it is "long non-coding RNA (ACOM_LNC044412)". Lineage: Eukaryota; Viridiplantae; Streptophyta; Magnoliopsida; Poales; Bromeliaceae. The record is from RNAcentral.